Molecule: ribosomal RNA, 468 nt
Filed under: uncultured bacterium
Lineage: Bacteria
Description: partial 16S ribosomal RNA
Rfam family: Bacterial small subunit ribosomal RNA
Source: RNAcentral
GACGAACGCUGGCGGCGUGCUUAACACAUGCAAGUCGAACGGAAAGGCCCUGCUUUUGUGGGGUGCUCGAGUGGCGAACGGGUGAGUAACACGGGAGUAACCUGCCCUUGACUUUGUGAUAACUUCAGGAAACUGGGGCUAAUACCGGAUAGGAGCUCCUGCUGCAUGGUGGGGGUUGGAAAGUUUCGGCGGUUGGGGAUGGACUCGCGGCUUAUCAGCUGGUUGGUGGGGUAGUGGCUUACCAAGGCUUUGACGGGUAGCCGGCCUGAGAGGGUGACCGGCCACAUUGGGACUGAGAUACGGCCAAGACUGCUACGGGAGGCAGCAGUGGGGAAUAUUGCACAAUGGGCGGAAGCCUGAUGCAGCAACGCCGCGUGCGGGAUGACGGCCUUCGGGUUGUAAACCGCUUUCGCCUGUGACGAAGCGUGAGUGACGGUAAUGGGUAAAGAAGCACCGGCUAACUACGUG